This 208-nucleotide long non-coding RNA is filed under the name Mytilus galloprovincialis (Mediterranean mussel). Lineage: Eukaryota; Metazoa; Mollusca; Bivalvia; Mytilida; Mytilidae. The record is from RNAcentral.
GCCUGUUCAAAGUGUGGAACCUGUAAAUCAGGGCUUGUUGUUUGUUGCUGUGUAACAUAUUUGUCUUUCAUUCAUUACUUUGUUCAUAAAUUGAUCAUACUUGACUAUGCCAUAUGGGUUUUGCUCAUGUUUGAAUGCUGUAUGGUAACAUAAUGUUACUAAUUUCUGUGUCAAUUCGUCUCUUGUGGAGAGUUGUCUCAUUGGCAUU